RNAcentral lists this ribosomal RNA (230 nucleotides) under uncultured bacterium. Its description in RNAcentral is "partial 16S ribosomal RNA". It matches the Rfam family "Bacterial small subunit ribosomal RNA", at positions 562 to 791 of the family's 1533-position model. The record is from RNAcentral.
AAAGCGUGCGCAGGCGGUUAUGUAAGACAGAUGUGAAAUCCCCGGGCUCAACCUGGGAACUGCAUUUGUGACUGCAUGGCUAGAGUACGGUAGAGGGGGAUGGAAUUCCGCGUGUAGCAGUGAAAUGCGCAGAUAUGCGGAGGAACACCGAUGGCGAAGGCAAUCCCCCGGACCUGUACUGACGCUCAUGCACGAAAGCGUGGGGAGCAAACAGGAUUAGAUACCCCGGU